UACGUAGGGUGCGAGCGUUAAUCGGAAUUACUGGGCGUAAAGCGUGCGCAGGCGGUUCGUUGCGUCUGAUGUGAAAGCCCCGGGCUCAACCUGGGAAUGGCAUUGGAAACUGGCGAGCUAGAGUGUGGCAGAGGGGGGUGGAAUUCCGCGUGUAGCAGUGAAAUGCGUAGAGAUGCGGAGGAACACCAGUGGCGAAGGCGGCUACCUGGACCAGCACUGACACUGAGGCACGAAAGCGUGGGGAGCAAACAGG
Molecule: ribosomal RNA, 253 nt
Filed under: uncultured bacterium
Lineage: Bacteria
Description: partial 16S ribosomal RNA
Rfam family: Bacterial small subunit ribosomal RNA
Source: RNAcentral